This 253-nucleotide ribosomal RNA is filed under the name uncultured bacterium. Its description in RNAcentral is "partial 16S ribosomal RNA". It matches the Rfam family "Bacterial small subunit ribosomal RNA", at positions 524 to 776 of the family's 1533-position model. The record is from RNAcentral.
UACGGAGGGUGCAAGCGUUGUUCGGAAUUAUUGGGCGUAAAGGGCGCGUAGGCGGCUUCUUAAGUCAGAUGUGAAAGCCCGGGGCUUAACCCCGGAAGUGCAUUUGAAACUAAGUAGCUUGAGUAUGGGAGAGGGAAGUGGAAUUCCUGGUGUAGAGGUGAAAUUCGUAGAUAUCAGGAGGAACACCGGUGGCGAAGGCGACUUCCUGGACCAAUACUGACGCUGAGGCGCGAAGGCGUGGGGAGCAAACAGG